RNAcentral lists this ribosomal RNA (235 nucleotides) under uncultured bacterium. RNAcentral describes it as "partial 16S ribosomal RNA". It matches the Rfam family "Bacterial small subunit ribosomal RNA", at positions 96 to 334 of the family's 1533-position model. The record is from RNAcentral.
UGGCGGACGGGUGAGUAAUGUCUGGGAAACUGCCUGAUGGAGGGGGAUAACUACUGGAAACGGUAGCUAAUACCGCAUAACGUCGCAAGACCAAAGAGGGGGACCUUCGGGCCUCUUGCCAUCGGGUGUGCCCAGAUGGGAUUAGCUAGUAGGUGGGGUAAAGGCUCACCUAGGCGACGAUCCCUAGCUGGUCUGAGAGGAUGACCAGCCACACUGGAACUGAGACACGGUCCAG